This 301-nucleotide ribosomal RNA is filed under the name uncultured bacterium. RNAcentral describes it as "partial 16S ribosomal RNA". It matches the Rfam family "Bacterial small subunit ribosomal RNA", at positions 509 to 807 of the family's 1533-position model. The record is from RNAcentral.
CAGCCGCCGCGGUAAUACGAAGGGGGCUAGCGUUGUUCGGAAUCACUGGGCGUAAAGGGUGCGUAGGCGGGAUCUUAAGUCAGGGGUGAAAUCCCGAGGCUCAACCUCGGAACUGCCUUUGAUACUGGGGUCCUUGAGUCCGGAGGAGGUGAGUGGAACUGCGAGUGUAGAGGUGAAAUUCGUAGAUAUUCGCAGGAACACCAGUGGCGAAGGCGGCUCACUGGCUCGAUACUGACGCUGAGGUGCGAAAGCGUGGGGAGCAAACAGGAUUAGAUACCCGAGUAGUCCCUGUCUCUUAUAC